AUGUUUUUCUCUGGCUGUUUAUGACGUCUUUACACUAAAUCCAUUGGAUGUUGGAUGUGUACGGAUUGAUAGUUUAGUCUUAGUUGCAUGAUUUUUUUAUUAGUUGUUAGUGGCUUUGAACUAGCUGUCAGAUAACUGCGAGUACUCUCAGAUCUGUUCAUUGUGUCUUUUGUGUCGGGAUGUAUAAGUACCGGGCCACGUUCACUUUAUUUUUGUCCAUCUGAUGAGUUAAGCCUUUUUCAACUGAUUUUUAUAGUUCGUUCUUAUGUUGUACUGUUAUACCACUGUCCCAGGUUAGGGGGAGGGUUGGGAUCCCGCUAAAAUGUUUAACCCCGCCACAUUAUUUAAGUAUGUGCCUGUCCCAAGUCAGGAGCCUGUAAUUCAGUGGUUGUCGUUUGUUUAUGUGUUACAUAUUUGUUUUUCGUUCAAUUUUUUUUAUAUAAAUAAGGCCGUUAGUUUUC
RNAcentral lists this long non-coding RNA (461 nucleotides) under Mytilus galloprovincialis (Mediterranean mussel). Lineage: Eukaryota; Metazoa; Mollusca; Bivalvia; Mytilida; Mytilidae. The record is from RNAcentral.